GGUGAGUAACACGUGGGUAACCUGCCCUAUAGNGNGUNNUAUNANNCGGAAACGCGUGCUAAUACCGGAUAACACAUCAGGGUGCAUGCUUUGGUGUUGAAAGAUGGUUCUGCUAUCACUAUAGGAUGGGCCCGCGGCGCAUUAGCUUGUUGGUGGGGUAACGGCCUACCAAGGCGACGAUGCGUAGCCGACCUGAGAGGGUGAUCGGCCACACUGGGACUGAGACACGGCCCAGACUCCUACGGGAGGCAGCAGUAGGGAAUCUUCCACAAUGGGCGAAAGCCUGAUGGAGCAACGCCGCGUGAGCGAAGAAGGUCUUCGGAUCGUAAAGCUCUGUUGUAAGGGAAGAACAAGUGCAGUAGUAACUGGCUGCACCUUGACGGUACCUUACUAGAAAGCCACGGCUAACUACGUGCCAGCAGCCGCGGUAAUACGUAGGUGGCAAGCGUUGUCCGGAAUUAUUGGGCGUAAAGCGCGCGCAGGCGGUCUUUUAAGUCUGAUGUGAAAGCCCCCGGCUUAACCGGGGAGGGUCAUUGGAAACUGGGAGACUUGAGUGCAGGAGAGGGAAGCGGAAUUCCAUGUGUAGCGGUGAAAAUGCGUANAGAUAUGGAGGANCACCAGUGGCGAAGGCGGCUUCCUGGCCUGUAACUGACGCUGAGGCGCGAAAGCGUGGGGAGCAAAACANGAUUAGAUACCCUGGUAGUCCACGCC
RNAcentral lists this ribosomal RNA (711 nucleotides) under uncultured bacterium. Its description in RNAcentral is "bacterial SSU rRNA". It matches the Rfam family "Bacterial small subunit ribosomal RNA", at positions 105 to 801 of the family's 1533-position model. The record is from RNAcentral.